RNAcentral lists this ribosomal RNA (427 nucleotides) under uncultured bacterium. RNAcentral describes it as "bacterial SSU rRNA". It matches the Rfam family "Bacterial small subunit ribosomal RNA", at positions 340 to 755 of the family's 1533-position model. The record is from RNAcentral.
UACGGAAGGCAGCAGUGGGGAAUAUUGCACAAUGGGCGAAAGCCUGAUGCAGCUAUGCCGCGUGUAUGAAGAAGGCCUUAGGGUUGUAAAGUACUUUCAUCGGGGAGGAAAAACAAAACUAAUAAUUUUAUUUCUUGACGUUACCCGAAAAAGAAGCACCGGCUAACUCCGUGCCAGCAGCCGCGGUAAUACGGAGGGUGCUAGCGUUAAUCAGAAUUACUGGGCGUAAAGAGCACGUAGGUGGUUUUUUAAGUCAGAUGUGAAAUCCCUGGGCUUAACCUAGGAACUGCAUUUUGAAACUGAAAUACUAGAGUAUCGUAGAGGGAGGUAGAAUUCUAGGUGUAGCGGUGAAAAUGCGUAGAUAUCUGGAGGAAUACCUGUGGCGAAAAGCGGCCUCCUAAAACGAAAUACUGACACUGAGGGUGCG